GAUGAACGCUGGCGGCGUGCCUAAUACAUGCAAGUCGAGCGAACAGAUAAGGAGCUUGCUCCUUUGACGUUAGCGGCGGACGGGUGAGUAACACGUGGGUAACCUACCUAUAAGACUGGGAUAACUUCGGGAAACCGGAGCUAAUACCGGAUAACAUUUGGAACCGCAUGGUUCUAAAGUGAAAGAUGGUUUUGCUAUCACUUAUAGAUGGAACCGCGCCGUAUUAGCUAGUUGGUAAGGUAACGGCUUACCAAGGCAACGAUACGUAGCCGACCUGAGAGGGUGAUCGGCCACACUGGAACUGAGACACGGUCCAGACUCCUACGGGAGGCAGCAGUAGGGAAUCUUCCGCAAUGGGCGAAAGCCUGACGGAGCAACGCCGCGUGAGUGAUGAAGGGUUUCGGCUCGUAAAACUCUGUUAUUAGGGAAGAACAAACGUGUAAGUAACUGUGCACGUCUUGACGGUACCUAAUCAGAAAGCCACGGCUAACUACGUG
This 497-nucleotide ribosomal RNA is filed under the name uncultured bacterium. RNAcentral describes it as "partial 16S ribosomal RNA". It matches the Rfam family "Bacterial small subunit ribosomal RNA", at positions 28 to 507 of the family's 1533-position model. The record is from RNAcentral.